Long non-coding RNA from Brassica oleracea var. oleracea, 572 nucleotides. RefSeq lists it as uncharacterized. The transcript has 2 exons. The record is from RefSeq and is a predicted model, not a curated record. NCBI's taxonomy places the organism in Eukaryota, Viridiplantae, Streptophyta, Magnoliopsida, Brassicales, Brassicaceae.
CGUUUUCUCAAUAUCAAACAUAGAAAGUUCACUAAGAGAAAUAAUGGAGGAGAGUAGAACUAUGUUGAAGUCACUGAUCUUACUAAUGAUGAUUUCCAGUUUUUGCCUCGAACUCACCGUUGCAGAAACCUACUGCCAUGCUCAACGUCGCUUGUUAAUUGACGCGUGCAAGAUAUUAAUUUUUAGGCAGGCUCCCCCCGCUGAAUGUUGUCGUAGAAUAAGAACGACUCCAGCGUGGUGCGUUUGUCCUUCUGUAACACCACAAAGAGCGGCUCUCAUCGAUGUCAACUACGCUGUUGGGGUAAUUCGUCAAUGCGGUCGAUAUGUAGCCCGCGGUACCAAAUGUGGAAGUAUUACAGUUCCAUAAAAAAAGCCGUUCGAGACAAUGGAGACGAAAAUAUCGUUGCCUGAAAACUAUCGUCCGUACUGUAUGAGUAUUCCACGUUGUAUCUGUUUUAAUAUUUGGGCAUUAUCGUUGGUCUUAUUUUUAUGUAGAAUAAAAUGAUGUCUUUUGAAAAAAAAAUAAAAAAAAAAAUAAAUAAAAUGAUGUCUGAAACUUUAUAUAUUUUCUA